UCUCACGAGGGAUUUCUCCAGUCUGCAUGUCUUCAGUGUCAUUUAUCUCUUCUGCUGGGACAUUAACCGCUGAUAUACUAUCUUCCGCUUCAACAGGUUCAGUAUUCUUGAUCUCUUCUAGUGCUGUUUCCUGUGUUGUUGGUAUAUCGACUUGUACAUCAGGAGCUAUCUUGUCCGCAAGACCAACAUCUUCAGUGAGCUCGCUGAUGUUUGCAUCAGUGCUCUUCUUGACUGCUUCAAUUUCCAUGGUUCCAGUGCCCUUCACUUCUUCUGCUGGUAGGUCAGGUGCUGAUUUGUUUUCUUCCAUCUCAACAGGUUCAGCAUUCUCGAGCUCUUGUAGUUCUGACACUUGUGCUUCUGGUAUAUCAUCUGUUGCCUCAGCUGCCAUUACAUGUUCUUCAGGAGCUGCCUCAUCUGCAUGAGCAACAUUGCCUCUUACAUCCUCGGUGAGCUCACUGAUGUUUACAUCAGCGAUCUCGUUGAUUGCUUCAGUUUUCUUGGCUUCAGUCUCCUUCACCUCUUCUGCCGACAGCUCAUUUGCUGAUAUGUUUUCUUCCACUUCAAUAGGUUCAGUAUUCUUGAUUUCUUCUAGGUCUAGCUCUUGUGCUCGUGGGAUAUCAACUGGUGCCUCAGUUGCUAUUACAUGCUCUUCAGGAGCAGCCUCAUCUGCAGGAGCAACAUUGCUUGUCACAUCCUCAGUGAGUUCGCUGAUGUUUGCAUCAGGGCUCUUGUUGAUUGCUUCAGUUUCCUUCACCACUUCUGCUUGCAGGCCACUUGCUGAUCUAUUUUCUUCCACCUCAACUGGUUCAACACUCUUGAUCUCUUCUAGUUCCGGCUCCUGUGCCUGUGGUAUAUCAAAUGUUGUCUCAGCUACUGUUACAUGCUCUGCAUGAGGUUCCUCGUCUGCAGGCACAACGUUGCUUUUCACAUCCUCAUUGAGCUCACUGAUGUUUGCAUCAGUCCUUUUGCUGAUUGCUUCAGUUUCCUUCACCUCUUCUUCUGGCAGGUCACCUGCUUCAGUAUUCUUGAUCUCUUCUAGCUCUGGCUCUUGUGCAUGUGGUAUAUCGACUGUUGUCUCAGCUACUGUUACAUGUUCUUUAUGAGCUGCCUCAUCUGUAAGAGCAAUGUUGCAUUUCAUAUCUUCAGUAAGCUCACUGAUGUUUGCAUCAGUGCUCUCAUUGAUUGCUUCAGUGUCCUUCACCUCUUCUGCCGGUAUGUCACUCGCUGAUGUGUUUUCUUCCACCUCAACAGGUUCAGUAUUCUCGAUCUCUUCUAGUUCUGGUUCUUGUGCUCGUGGAAUAUUAACUGUUCCCUCAGUUGCUAUUAUAUGCUCUUCAUGAGCUGCCUCGUCUGCAGGAUUGACACUGCUUGUCACAUCCUCAAUGAGCUCGCUGAUGUUUGCAUCAAUGCUCUCGUUGAUUGCUUCAGUUUCCUUCACCUCUUCUGCUGGCAAGUUACCUGCUGAUCUGUUCUCCUCCACCUCAACAGGUUCAACAUUCUCAAGAUCCUUUAGUUCCGGCGCUUGUGCUUGUGGUAUAUCAACCGUUGCCUCAGCUGCUAUUACAUGUUCUUCAGGAGCUGCCUCUUCUGCAGGAGUAACAUUGCUUUUCAUAUCCUCAGUGAGCUCACUAAUGCUUGCAUCAGUGCUCUCAUUGAUUGCUUCAGUGUCCUUCACCUUUUCUGCUGGCAGGUCACUUGCUGGUAUGUUUUCUUCCACCUUAACAGGUCUAGUAUUCUGGAUCUCUUCUACUUCUGGCUCUUGUGCUUGUGGUAUAUCGACUGUAUUAUCAGCUACCGUUACAUGUUCUUCAGGAGCUGCCUCGUCUGCAAGAGCAACAUUGCUUUUCACAUCUUCAGUAAGCUCAUUGUUGUUUGCAUCAGUGCUCUCGUUGAUUGCUUCAGUCUCCACGGCUUCACUAUCUUUCACCUCUUCUGCUGGCAGAUCAUUUUCUGAUACAUAUGCUUCCACUUCAGCAGGUUCAGUGUUCUUGGUCUCUUCUAGUUCUGGCUCUUGUGUUCGUGGUAUAUCAACUGUUGCGGCAGUUGCUAUUACAUGUUCUUCAGGAGCUGCCUCGUCUGCACACACGAGAUUGCUUUUCACAUCCUCAGUAAGCUUACUGAUGUUUGCAUCAAUGCUCUCGUUGAAUGCUUCAGUUUCCUUGGCUUCAGUGUCCUUCAUCUCUUCUGCCGGCAUGUCACUAGCUGAUAUGUUUUCUUUCACUUCAACAGGUUCAAUAUUCUUGAUCUCUUCUAGUUCCGGCUCUUGUGCUUGUGCUAUAUCAACUGUUGCCUCAGUUGCUAUUACAUGUUCUUCAGGAGCAGCCUCGUCUGCAAGAGCAACGUUACUUUCCACAUCCUCAGCGAUCUCACUGAAGUUUGCAUCAGUGCUCCCAUUGGUUGCUUCAGUUUCCUUGGCUUCAUUGCCGUUCACCUCUUCUGCCGGCAGGUCACUCGCUGAUAUGUUUUCUUCCACCUCAACAGGUUCAGUAUUCUUGAUCUCUUCUACUUCUGGCUCUUGUGCAUGUGGUAUAUCAACUGUAUCAUCAGCUACUGUUACAUGUUCUUCAGGAGCUGCUUCGUCUGCAAGAGCAACAAUGUUUUUCACAUCUUCAGUGAGCUCACUGUUGUUUGUGUUAGUGCUCUCGUUGAUUGUUUCAGUCUCCAUGGCUUCAGUAUCCUUCACCUCUUCUGCUGGCAGAUCAUUUGCUGAUAUGUUUUCUGCCACUUCAGCAGGUUCAGUAUUCUUGGUCUCUUCUAGUUCUGGCUCUUGUGCUUCUGGUAUAUCAACUGUUGCCUCAGGUGCCAUUACAUGCUCUUCAGGAGCUACCUCCUCUGUAAGGGCAACAUUGUUUUGCACAUCUUCAAUGAGAUCGCUAAUGUUUGCGUCACUGCUCUCAUUGUUUGCUUCAGUUUCCCCCAUCUCUUCUGCAGGCAGGUCGCUUGCUGAUCUAGUUUCUUCCACCUCAACAGGUUCAGUAUUCUUGACCUCUUCUAGUUUCGGCUCUUGUGCUUGUGGUACAUCAACUGUUCUCUCAGCUACUGUUACAUGUUCAUCAUGAGCUGCCUCGUCUGUAAGAGAAACAUUGCUUUGCACAUCUUCAGUGAGCUCACUGUUGUUUGCAUCAGUGCUGUCGUUGAUUGCUUCUGUUUCCACGGUGUCAGUAUCCUUCACAUUUUUCGCUGGCAGAUCACUUGCUGAUGUGUUCCCUUCCACUUCAGCAG
This 3222-nucleotide long non-coding RNA is filed under the name Hordeum vulgare. RNAcentral's name for it is "long non-coding RNA (HVUL_LNC014830)". Lineage: Eukaryota; Viridiplantae; Streptophyta; Magnoliopsida; Poales; Poaceae. The record is from RNAcentral.